GAAUAAGGGUAAAUAUGUCAUUCAAAAAAAUCAAAGGCUAGCUUCUAGGAAAUUGCACAUUUAAUCUGCGAAAAGUUAAAAGGGAACAAACAACAAUCGUCAGAUGUCUUAUAUAUAAGUGAAGUAGUAACUUAAAGCAGUCAUUAGCUAUAAGUGCUUCAAAAUCACAACCCCAAUCACAUCAUCAUCAUCAUCUUCAAUCAAACAGUUCUGAGUUUCCGCCAUGUCUGCAAUCCCUAACUUUCUUUCAAGCUCCAAAUCGACCCUUCGUUGCUGCAGCAAGUCUCAGAAUCCUCGAGAAAAACCCAGUUUCAAAACCCGUUGUUCCUCGAUGGCGAAGCAACAGAAAACUAGGUUUUACAUCCUCAGACGUUGUAUCACUAUGCUUUUGUGUUGGCAUGAACCCUCAUGAGAUCAUCAUCGUCGUCUUCGUUACUGUUUCAGUUGAUCGCCUCUAGUUUAGUUAGUUAGUUUAAGAGACAAAACAUAACCCUGUUUUCUUUUCGGACAUAGUUAGAGGACAAAACUGGGUUUCGAGAUUGAGGAGAGCUGUGGGAUAUUUGAGGAGGAAAAGUUCGUGAAAUUCAAGUGUUGCCGCUGCCGGCGGCGAUGUUUUCUUCAUCUCGAUAUCCUGGGAAACUUAGAUUAGUUAUAGGAUUAGGAUGGGAUUGAAGAAAAAGAGAUUUUCGAGGGGCAUUUUUUUGAUAAAUACAAAGUGUAACUUCCUUAAUUUUUACAAGUAGUUAAAAGGUAUAUUUUCUCAUAUUGCACUGAUAAAGUUAAAAAGUUUUAUUGCCGAUCACAAAUUCUAAUUUUCGUAUCUGAUUCCAUUCUUCUAUUAACACUAGAGAAUCUAGAAAAAGAAAAUCAAAUUCUAAUACUCAGCGUCUUCCACUGUAGAGAAGAGGUGUUUAUGGGCUGGGCUGUCUAUUUAUCUCUAUUUGCUCGAUUCAAGAUGGACCGGACUUGGGUUUACAUCGCUUAUUCUACGGCUGAUUGAGAUGGAUUAAGCUUGAGCCUGAGUUUGGAAAUUUUCUAAAUUGGAUUGUGAUCAGUCUUGGUUUAUGAACAUCUUUACUCCAAAGUGUUUCCAAAUACAUGAAAAAAAAUUGUUGUUUGAUCGAUGGAAUUUAA
Long non-coding RNA from Gossypium arboreum, 1134 nucleotides. RefSeq lists it as uncharacterized. The record is from RefSeq and is a predicted model, not a curated record. Lineage: Eukaryota; Viridiplantae; Streptophyta; Magnoliopsida; Malvales; Malvaceae. The transcript has 2 exons.